RNAcentral lists this ribosomal RNA (497 nucleotides) under uncultured bacterium. RNAcentral describes it as "partial 16S ribosomal RNA". It matches the Rfam family "Bacterial small subunit ribosomal RNA", at positions 28 to 507 of the family's 1533-position model. The record is from RNAcentral.
GAUGAACGCUGGCGGCGUGCCUAAUACAUGCAAGUAGAACGCUGAAGCUUGGUGCUUGCACCGAGCGGAUGAGUUGCGAACGGGUGAGUAACGCGUAGGUAACCUGCCUCUUAGCGGGGGAUAACUAUUGGAAACGAUAGCUAAUACCGCAUAAAAGUCGAUAUCGCAUGAUAUUGAUUUGAAAGGUGCAAAUGCAUCACUAAGAGAUGGACCUGCGUUGUAUUAGCUAGUUGGUGAGGUAACGGCUCACCAAGGCGACGAUACAUAGCCGACCUGAGAGGGUGAUCGGCCACACUGGGACUGAGACACGGCCCAGACUCCUACGGGAGGCAGCAGUAGGGAAUCUUCGGCAAUGGGGGCAACCCUGACCGAGCAACGCCGCGUGAGUGAAGAAGGUUUUCGGAUCGUAAAGCUCUGUUGUAAGAGAAGAACGAGUGUGAGAGUGGAAAGUUCACACUGUGACGGUAACUUACCAGAAAGGGACGGCUAACUACUUG